AGGGUCAGAUUAAGAAAAAGGUGCAAGUUAUGGAGUCACCCUCAAGAACUGUUGGUUUGGACUUAAAAGCGCUCAAAGAAAUGAACUCAGUUUUCUGUCUUUGUGCAGCUGAUUCCAUGCAUAAGGUGCAUGGUAAACAAAAGCUAU
This is a long non-coding RNA of Sphaeramia orbicularis (orbiculate cardinalfish), 147 nucleotides long. RefSeq lists it as uncharacterized. The record is from RefSeq and is a predicted model, not a curated record. The transcript is spliced from 3 exons. Lineage: Eukaryota; Metazoa; Chordata; Actinopteri; Kurtiformes; Apogonidae.